RNAcentral lists this ribosomal RNA (439 nucleotides) under uncultured bacterium. RNAcentral's name for it is "partial 16S ribosomal RNA". It matches the Rfam family "Bacterial small subunit ribosomal RNA", at positions 339 to 795 of the family's 1533-position model. The record is from RNAcentral.
CUACGGGUGGCUCCAGUGAGGAAUAUUGCACAAUGGGGGGAACCCUGAUGCAGCAACGCCGCGUGGAGGAUGACGCAUUUCGGUGUGUAAACUCCUUUUAUAUGUCAAGAAAAUGACGGUAGCAUAUGAAUAAGCACCGGCUAACUCCGUGCCAGCAGCCGCAGUAAUACGGAGGGUGCAAGCGUUACUCGGAAUCACUGGGCGUAAAGGACGCGUAGGCGGGUUGGAAAGUCAGGUGUGAAAUCCUACAGCUUAACUGUAGAACUGCACUUGAAACUUCUAAUCUAGAGUAUGGGAGGGGGAGAUGGAAUUAGUGGUGUAGGGGUAAAGUCCGUAGAUAUCACUAGGAAUACCUAAAGCGAAGGCGAUCUCCUGGAACAUUACUGACGCUAAGGCGUGAAAGCGUGGGGAGCAAACAGGAUUAGAUACCCUGGUAGUC